UCGCCCACAAUGGCCUUCAACGGUUUCAACAUGGAUGUGUCGGCGGUUGGGUUGUUGCAAAAGGAUUGCAGCAAGGCAAAGGCCGAUUGGCUACCGACUGGUUUCGGGCAUCUUUGUUGGAGUCGUUGUCGCUGGCAGUGGUUGGUUGUGGCUGUGCGGCGGCUCCUUCGUUGGUCUCCUCGCGCUAACCCCGUAGCGUGUGGUUUUUAGCGGGCUAUCAAGCCCGCUUUUUUUU
Molecule: non-coding RNA, 235 nt
Filed under: Oceanospirillum multiglobuliferum
Lineage: Bacteria; Pseudomonadati; Pseudomonadota; Gammaproteobacteria; Oceanospirillales; Oceanospirillaceae
Description: Burkholderia sRNA Bp1_Cand871_SIPHT
Rfam family: Burkholderia sRNA Bp1_Cand871_SIPHT
Source: Rfam by way of RNAcentral